ACACCAAAUCUCCGUCUGCAAAAUGGCCGAUUACAUUAGUGAAGUACAUACAUAUGUAGCUAGACACUAGUGUCUUUUGUGGGUGAAUUUUCGGUUUUCAAUACCACAAUUUUCUUUGAAGUAUGUUUACCCAAAGCUGAAAAUAUUUCUUUGGCAGCAUAUAAUUUCAGGAUUGAUCAAAUGUUUCGGGAAAUCUAUAAAUUGCUUGGAUAAGCAAACCAAUGUCCAAUUGUUUGGUUACUUUUCAUGCACAGUAAACAUUUCAAGAAAGUACCGAAAUAUCGCGACAAAACUCAUUUACUUGUCUUGUUUCCUAUCUGUGCAUAUUUUCCUUUCUAAGACGAUCUCAGCCUGCGGGAAUAUGGAUGAAAAAUACUUCGAACGAAAUCGGAUUAAAUUUGGCGGUUGGAAUGGAUGUAAAAGACGAAGGGAAGGGAGAUAAAGGUAUGCAAAAGGGAGUUUUUCCAACUAUGGAUCAUCGAGCAAAAGAAGAGGUGAAUCAUGGUUUUUACAGCCUCAGAAAAUGGAUAGAAAAUCUAGAACAAACUAAUUUUAGAAUUUCAUAUUAAAUUUGAAUUUCAGCGCGUUAGUUAACUAGGUUCCCACCUACGUUACUACCCAUUGCAUAUUUUGUAUGAAACUUCGUACGAACAAUUGUUGUUCUACAUUUUCGAUAUUUUCAUAUGGUUUCACCACUUCUCAAAAUUGUAUCACUGCUUUAAAAAUUCUUUAUAAAAAUUAGCAAAGGAUCAGGAAACCGUGAGAAAGAUGUAGUCUUAGGAGUCCUCUAGUGGCAAAAACAUGAGGUGCCGCCACACUAGUCAUUAAAUUUAAAUACAAACUACGUUACAAAUUACAAUAUAACACGCUUGUGUAAUAUACUAAAUUUUAAUAAUAAUUUUUCGAAGUUUGUUGUACUUUUUACACUUUACAAUCCGAUCUUUUUUUAAGCACAUUUUAUGAAACUCAUCGAAAUUGUCUAUUAACAAAGCACGUGGAAGUGUGGCAAUGGUUUAUCCAAAAAGUAUUACCAAACAACAUUUUAAUAUUAAUACUGACUUUAAGCCAGUAUUAAAUGAUAAAUCGAACACAUCGUUUGAACGCACAAGAGGAGUAUAUUACAUUAUUGAAAUUUGGAUAUGCAUGUUUUCUUUUCUUGUAUAUUGCUACUUGGAAACUUCAUAAAAUGCAGUUUGAAACAA
Molecule: non-coding RNA, 1202 nt
Organism: Megalopta genalis
Lineage: Eukaryota; Metazoa; Arthropoda; Insecta; Hymenoptera; Halictidae
Source: RefSeq, a predicted model, not a curated record